UGGGGAAUAUUGCACAAUGGGCGCAAGCCUGAUGCAGCCAUGCCGCGUGUGUGAAGAAUGCCUUCGGGUUGUAAAGCACUUUCAGCGGGGAGGAAGGCGAUAAGGUUAAUAACCUUGUCGAUUGACGUUACCCGCAGAAGAAGCACCGGCUAACUCCGUGCCAGCAGCCGCGGUAAUACGGAGGGUGCAAGCGUUAAUCGGAAUUACUGGGCGUAAAGCGCACGCAGGCGGUCUGUCAAGUCGGAUGUGAAAUCCCCGGGCUCAACCUGGGAACUGCAUUCGAAACUGGCAGGCUAGAGUCUUGUAGAGGAGAGUAGAAUUCCAGGUGUAGCGGUGAAAUGCGUAGAGAUCUGGAAGAAUACCGGUGGCGAAGGCGGCCCCCUGGACAAAGACUGACGCUCAGGUGCGAAAGCGUGGGUAGCAAACAGG
RNAcentral lists this ribosomal RNA (429 nucleotides) under Chloroflexota bacterium. Its description in RNAcentral is "Chloroflexi bacterium partial 16S ribosomal RNA". It matches the Rfam family "Bacterial small subunit ribosomal RNA", at positions 355 to 776 of the family's 1533-position model. The record is from RNAcentral. Lineage: Bacteria; Bacillati; Chloroflexota.